Molecule: small nuclear RNA, 105 nt
Organism: Gossypium arboreum
Lineage: Eukaryota; Viridiplantae; Streptophyta; Magnoliopsida; Malvales; Malvaceae
Source: Rfam
AUCUCUUUAGAGACAUGCAACACAAUUGAAACAAUAUAGAAAAAAUUAUAGCAUGGUUUCUAUGCAACGAUGAUAUGCACAAAUCAAGAAAUGGUCUAAAUUAUU